UAUCAAGCACCUAAGGUGAUGGGUGGAUGGUUAGGCUCUCAGAGGCGAUGAAGGACGUGCCAAGCUGCGAAAAGCCAGGGCGAGCUGCACCGAAGCGAUGACCCCUGGAUGUCCGAAUGGGGCAACCCACUAUGGCGAACCCAUAGUAUCCCGCAAGGGAAGCCAACGUGGUGAAUUGAAACAUCUUAGUAACCACAGGAAAAGAAAUCGACGAGAUUCCGCCAGUAGCGGCGAGCGACAACGGAAGAGGCCAAACCAGGGAGCUUGCUCCCUGGGGUUGUAGGACCGCGUUUAAGACCAGCAGAUCGAGCCGAAGCACCUGGAAAGGUGCCCCGCAGCGGGUGAUAGGCCCGUAGGCGUAGACGAGCUGGCUGAGCGGUAUCCUGAGUAGUGCAUGGCUCGUGAAACUGUGCAUGAAUCCGGGGCGACCACGCUCCAAGCCUAAAUACUCCUGAGAGACCGAUAGUGAACGAGUAGCGUGAGCGAACACUGAAAAGCACCCCUGGCGGGGAGUGAAACAGAUCCUGAAACCCAUCACGUACAAGCAGUUGUGGACCGAUGCCGCAAGGCCGGUUUGCAGCGUGCCUUUUGCAUAAUGACCCAGCGACUUACCGUUAGCGGCAAGCUUAAGGGCGAGAAGCCUGGAGGCGUAGCGAAAGCGAGUGUGAAGAGCGCGCCGAGUCGUUAGCGGUAGACCCGAAACCCGGUGAUCUAGCCAUGUGCAGGUUGAAGUGGGGGUGAAACCCCAUGGAGGACCGAACAGAUAGACCUUGAGAAGUCUCCUGAUGACAUGUGGCUGGGAGCAAAAGACUAAUCAAACCGGGAGAUAUCUGGUUCUCCUCGAAAUAUAUUUAGGUAUAGGCUUGGGAGUUUCCAUGUGGGGGUAGAGCACUGAAAGGACUAGGGGCCUUACCGGGUUACCAAAUCCUAUCAAACUCCGAAUACUACAUGGCGUAUCCCAGGGCUCAGACAGCGAGCUAGAACGUCCGUUGUCAAAAGGGAAAGAACCCAGACCAACAGCUAAGGUCCCUAAAGCAUGCCAAGUGGUAAAGGAAGUGUUUGUGCUGAGACAGCCGGGAUGUUGGCUUAGAAGCAGCCAUCAUUUAAAGAGUGCGUAACAGCUCACCGGUCGAUGCACGAACGCGCCGAAAAUAACCGGGGCUCAAGCAUGCUACCGAAGCUUUGGCUGCACAUCUCCCUGCGGGGAGCUGUGCGGGGUAGGGGAGCGUUGAGUGCAGGCUGAAGGUACACGGCAACGAGUACUGGACAGCACUCAAGAGAUUAUGCUGGGAUGAGUAACGAUCAACAAGGUGAGAAUCCUUGUCGCCGUAAGCCUACGGUUUCCUCCGCCAGGCAAGUCCGCGGAGGGUUAGGCGGGAGCUAAGGCGAGGCCGACAGGCGUAGCUGAUGCACAGCCGGUUCAUAUUCCGGCCCUCCCAUACAGGUGCCUACGAGGGACGCAGACGAUAAUCGUGGUGGAGCCUGAAGUGGGCCCACGCAGGUAUCGGGAUUGCCGCUUUGAAAGAUGCGGUGCACCCCCGGUAUCGGCCAAACGCCUUGAGCGAUAUAGGCACGAUGAAGGGCUGUCGAGAAAAGCUCGUCAGGAGAUAACGUGUAUGGGAUCCGUACUCAAACCGACACAGGUGGGCGAGGCGAGUAGCCUCAGGUGCUCGAGAGAACUCUGGUUAAGGAACUCGGCAAAUUCACCCCGUAACUUCGGGAGAAGGGGUGCCGGCGCAAGCCGGCCGCAGUGAAGAGGCCCAACCGACUGUUUACUAAAAACACAGUUCUGUGCGAAGGCGCAAGCCGAUGUAUACGGAAUGAUGCCUGCCCGGUGCUGGAAGGUCAAAGGGAGGAGUCAGCGCAAGCGAAGCCCCGAACUCAAGCCCCAGUAAACGGCGGCCGUAACUAUGACGGUCCUAAGGUAGCGAAAUUCCUUGUCGGGUAAGUUCCGACCUGCAUGAAAGGCAUAACGAGUUGGGCACUGUCUCAACCAGAGACUCGGUGAAAUUGCAAUAUCGGCGAAGAUACCGAUUACCCGCAGCAGGACGAAAAGACCCCGUGAACCUUAACUGCAGCCUGAUGCUGUGUUUCUGUGAUUCGUGCGUAGCAUAGGUGGGAGACGUUGAUCUGCCGGUUCCGGUCGGCAGGGAGUCAUCAGUGAAAUACCACUCUCGAAUCAUGGGAAUUCUAACCUGCGCUGUGCAAGCGCGGAGACCCCGUCAGGCGGGCAGUUUGGCUGGGGCGGCUUCCUCCCAAAGCGUAACGGAGGGGCACCAAGGUCGGCUCAGUACGGUUGGCAAUCGUACGAGGAGUGUAAGGGCACAAGCCGGCUUAACUGCGAGUCCGAUCAGACGAGCAGAUGCGAAAGCAGGUCCUAGUGAUCCGGUGGUCCCUUGUGGACGGGCCAUCGCUCAACAGAUAAAAGGUACUCCGGGGAUAACAGGCUGAUCUGGCCCAAGAGUCCCUAUCGACGGCCAGGUUUGGCACCUCGAUGUCGGCUCAUCGCAUCCUGGGGCUGGAGAAGGUCCCAAGGGUAUAGCUGUUCGCUAUUUAAAGCGGUACGCGAGCUGGGUUUAAACCGUCGUGAGACAGGUUGGUUUCUAUCCGCUGUGGGCGCAGGACGAUUGAUGGGACCUGACAUUAGUACGAGAGGAUUAUGUUGGACGUACCGCUGGUGUACCGGUUGUUCCACUCGGAGCAGUGCCGGGUAGCUACGUACGGACGGGAUAAACGCUGAAAGCAUCUAAGCGUGAAGCCCACCCAGAGAUGAAUCGUCCCUAUGACUGUCCUGGUAGACCACCAGGUGAUAGGCCGGAGGUGUACGCCCGUAUAUCUAAAGGGGCUGAGCUGACCGGUACUAAUCGCAGCAUUGGCUUGGUCGU
RNAcentral lists this ribosomal RNA (2885 nucleotides) under Burkholderiales bacterium. Its description in RNAcentral is "23S ribosomal RNA". It matches the Rfam family "Bacterial large subunit ribosomal RNA". Lineage: Bacteria; Pseudomonadati; Pseudomonadota; Betaproteobacteria; Burkholderiales. The record is from RNAcentral.